Caretta caretta (loggerhead turtle) is the source of this 355-nucleotide long non-coding RNA. RefSeq lists it as uncharacterized. The record is from RefSeq and is a predicted model, not a curated record. Lineage: Eukaryota; Metazoa; Chordata; Testudines; Cheloniidae.
UAUCCUUUGGAGUUUUCUCUAUAGCUGCUGGUUUCCAUUUAAGUGGCCUGGAAUCUAAACUUCUCUAUUUAUCCACAGCACAGACAGUGGCAACAGGGACCCCUGCCUCAUUCAGGGCCAAGGAUGGAUGGUUCUCUUAAUGAGCAGUGGUCUCAGUGCCAAUUGAUGGGACGGGACACCGCACCCAGAAGUGAAAAAUGAAGAUUCAACAACACUGAGACAUUUUGCAGAGUCCUGUCAGUUUCACCAAAUUGUUCAUGUUGAGAACAAGCAGAGAAAAAUAUUCAAAAAGUCAAAAUGUGUAAUUUUGAAAUGUUUCAGUUUUCUGGUUCAAAUGACUUUUGGUGUAGACAUU